Molecule: long non-coding RNA, 1383 nt
Organism: Nicotiana attenuata
Lineage: Eukaryota; Viridiplantae; Streptophyta; Magnoliopsida; Solanales; Solanaceae
Exons: 7
Source: RefSeq, a predicted model, not a curated record
AUCGGGGGUUCAACUAUAAUGGGACGUCAUUGACUACAAGGUUCAAAAUGUCAUAUAGAUUAAUCCACCUUAUCCACAAUGUCUGUACAACUACAUGUAAGGAUCAUGGAAGACGGAAAAAUGCUUGUCUCUUUCACCAUGAGUAGUGCAUCAAAAUUUUAACCUCUCAUCCUUGUUCCAAUGGAUGAAGACAUAAUACUAGAUUUUUACCUGAACCUUUCUGUUCUUAUCAACACGGUAUUUUAGUCAUAUACAGUUACAGGUUUGAUGUUGAUUUCCAAGAUGCCUCCAGCUCAAAAUUCAUCGGGAGACCAAGGUAAAACAGAACAACUUUGAAGUUUAUUCCUUUUAAAUUUCAAGAAUCUAUUUGAUUAAUGUGUUUCAUGAUUGAUGUCAGAGAAUGCUGCAGACCAAGGUAAAACAGAACAACUUUGAAGUUUAUUCCUUUUAAAUUUCAAGAAUCUGUUUGAUUGAUGUGUUUCAUGAUUGAUGUCGGAGAAUCCUGCAGUUGAUGCUCAACAAAAAGGAGAAGUUGCUGGCAAUGCAGAUGGUGUUUAAAGAAGAAAAUAGCAUAAUUACUGAUGGUGAAAGUAAAAAUUAUCAUGAGAAAGUUGCAGCUUUACCUACUUAUGACCCUUCAACAGCUAAAGAACCUCACCUUGAGAACUACGAAGAUGGCAAAAGAGAUGAAUAUAAGAGAAACGCAGCUUAAGCAUCCUUUUCAAUGUACAAGAUUUCAAACAUCUGCAAAUGAUUUAGUGAGUCAAGUCACUAACUUGAAACGCAUAAUUUUGAUCAACCUCUGGACUCAAUUUUGGAGGGGAAGGAUGAUCUUCAUGACCAACCAUAUAACCAGAAAGGUGAAUCCUCAAGUGUUUCCAGUGAGACAGUAGAAGAAUGCAUCAUAUCAUCAUCACUUGAAGAACAAGAAACUACAAGGAAUGGAAGAUCAGGCCAGAACGAAGAUAACUGACAUUGGUUAAGGCAGCAAAGAGAGAACUCUUUUGAUGCACCAAAGAAUAAAUAUGAGUUACCAACUGAACAAGGUAAAGCAAGUCUCUACUGCAGCUCACCCUCAAAUUCUUGGCCUGUAUAUAUUGUUGAUCUAUAACAUAAGGAAGCCCGGCAAUGUGACAUAACUUCAGGCAACAUGGUGGUACAUCUUUCGUCAAAGGAUGGAUCCAAGAAGGCCAACCCUAAGUUGUUGUUCGUCAUCCAGUUUCUCCUCCAUCUCCAUCUAUUAGUUCAGUUGUUCCAGCAACAGAUAAAAAAGAGACAUUUUUUGUUAGACUUGAUAAUUUAGCUACCCUUAAUGUUACAAGGAGUGUUUUGUAAUUACUAUUAAGUUUUUUGUUAUGAUAAUAUCUGAAUCCCUUAUUACCA